CCUACGGGAGGCAGCAGUAGGGAAUUUUCGGCAAUGGGGGGAACCCUGACGGAGCAACGCCGCGUGAACGAAGAAGUUAUUCGGAAUGUAAAGUUCGUUAAACAGGGAAGAAAGAGAAAUUUGACGGUACCUGAAGAAUAAGCACCGGCUAACUACGUGCCAGCAGCCGCGGUAAUACGUAGGGAGCGAGCGGUAUCCGGAAGUAUUGGGCGUAAAGGGGGCGCAGAUGGCAUAUUAAGUCUUUGGUAAAAAUGCUGGGCUCAACCCAGUAGGGCAAAAGAUACUGCAAAGCUAGAGUAUGACAGAGGCAAGUGGAACUACAUGUGUAGCGGUAAAAUGCGUAAAUAUAUGUAGGAACACCAGUGGCGUAGGCGGCUUGCUGGGUCGAUACUGACAUUGAGGCACGAAAGCGUGGGGAGCAAACGGGAUUAGAUACCCGAGUAGUC
This 446-nucleotide ribosomal RNA is filed under the name uncultured bacterium. Its description in RNAcentral is "partial 16S ribosomal RNA". It matches the Rfam family "Bacterial small subunit ribosomal RNA", at positions 338 to 795 of the family's 1533-position model. The record is from RNAcentral.